Molecule: ribosomal RNA, 256 nt
Filed under: uncultured bacterium
Lineage: Bacteria
Description: partial 16S ribosomal RNA
Rfam family: Bacterial small subunit ribosomal RNA
Source: RNAcentral
CGUAGGUCCCGAGCGUUGUCCGGAUUUAUUGGGGCGUAAAGCGAGCGCAGGCGGUUAGAUAAGUCUGAAGUGAAAGGCAGUGGCUCAACCAUUGUAGGCUUUGGAAACUGUUUAACUUGAGUGCAGAAGGGGAGAGUGGAAUUCCAUGUGUAGCGGUGAAAUGCGUAGAUAUAUGGAGGAACACCGGUGGCGAAAGCGGCUCUCUGGUCUGUAACUGACGCUGAGGCUCGAAAGCGUGGGGGAGGCGAACAGGAUU